UUAUGAACAACGCAAAUAAUCACUUUCGACGCUAUCUCUUAAUUUAUUCGGUGCGAGACGGUACCUCUGCGCAAGCAGAAAUAUCUCCACGACCAUUGAAUUCGAGACUGGAAAAAGGAGAAUAAAAUGUUUAAAAGCCUGAUCUUGGGUGCGGUGCUUCCAACGUUCAUCUAAUGAACAACUGGGGAGGAUCGCAAUGAUCGGACUUACAU
This 212-nucleotide small RNA is filed under the name Ceratocystis platani. RNAcentral describes it as "A. fumigatus sRNA Afu_182". It matches the Rfam family "A. fumigatus sRNA Afu_182". The record is from Rfam by way of RNAcentral. Lineage: Eukaryota; Fungi; Ascomycota; Sordariomycetes; Microascales; Ceratocystidaceae.